CGCUCAGGAUGAACGCUGGCGGCGUGCCUAAUACAUGCAAGUCGAACGAGGUGCUUGAGUAGCAAUACAAGAGUAUCCUAGUGGCGAACGGGUGAGUAACGCGUUGGUGACCUACCCCAAAGUGUGGGAUAACAGUUCGAAAGAACUGCUAAUACCGCAUGUGGUUAUCGGGUUUAGAAACUGAUAACUAAAGGAGCAAUUCGCUUUGGGAGGGACCUGCGUCCCAUCAGCUAGUUGGUGAGGUAAUGGCUCACCAAGGCUACGACGGGUAGGGGACCUGAGAGGGUGACCCCCCACAAUGGAACUGAAACACGGUCCAUACACCUACGGGUGGCAGCAGUAGGGAAUAUUGCACAAUGGGCGAAAGCCUGAUGCAGCAACGCCGCGUGUGCGAUGAAGGCCUUCGGGUCGUAAAGCACUUUUCUGAGAGAUGAGCAAGGACAGAUCUUCAGGAAUAAGCU
Molecule: ribosomal RNA, 461 nt
Filed under: uncultured bacterium
Lineage: Bacteria
Description: bacterial SSU rRNA
Rfam family: Bacterial small subunit ribosomal RNA
Source: RNAcentral